Drosophila eugracilis is the source of this 2149-nucleotide long non-coding RNA. RefSeq lists it as uncharacterized. The record is from RefSeq and is a predicted model, not a curated record. The transcript has 2 exons. NCBI's taxonomy places the organism in Eukaryota, Metazoa, Arthropoda, Insecta, Diptera, Drosophilidae.
AACGCCCUGAAGAGAUUGCGAGAGUUGAUGCGACAGCGAUUAGUACAGAUUGUUUAAGUUAUCUUAGUUAGUUAACUAAGCUAAGCUACUUUUGGGGAGGGAUUGCUUUCCAAUUGGUUUCUAGAAAAAAAAAAAAAAGGAGCUGGAACUGGAACUGGAACUGGAACUGGUUCUGGAUGAAAGCGAUUGAAAUACCUAGAAAUCAGUUAUAGAUCUGCAUAGAAUCCUACAAGAACAGUGCGUUACGAAAGUGACAGUUUAAGGUUACUUAACAGCAUUUCUUUAAAAUUGAUUUUAAGAUUUUUAAUAAUUUAUAUUUCAUUAAUAAAAGCAAACAGGUUAAAACCUUUUCUUGUCCUUAACAAACGCACUGUCCACAAAUAUAGUCAAAGAUAAUAUAUAUAUAUAUAUAUAGAUUAUUUAAGGAAUACAGUCGACACUACAGAGAUAUUAAUGUUAGCAACUUAAGCGUAAGUAUUACUCACUAAAGGUUAUUCGUUUACAAAAGAUAUCAUACAUAUGGUAGGAAUAGGUUAAUGAGAUAUUAGAUAGGUAAGAAAAAUAAUGCCGGAUUAACUAACUGAUCUGAUCCUGUUAAAAAAACUAUUCUGAGUUACUAGAAAAGUAUAAGAAAGCAGAGAGUAACAUAUAGUAUGGCUGCUCGAUAAGUAAUGACGGGUCAUGCCUCGACACGUGUUGGUGAUCCUUUGGGACUGGCAAGUUUAUAUGAAAGCGAAGGAAUGGAUGAAAAGUUCAUUGCAUGUUGCAUAAUUAAAUAGAGAGCUUUUAAAACAAUAAAAACAAGAAGUAUCGGGGGGGUCAACGAAAAAGUGGAAAAGCGGAAAACCAAAGACAAUUGAAAACUUGAAAUACGUUUAAAGCUUUCUCCACCACUUAACCCCAUGAGAAGCGCAAAAGCUUUCUACAGCGAAAAGCUUUUUAUACGAAAAGCGAGGGGGUUAAGUAUAGUCUAGUCCGCCAUGGGAAUUGCAUAUACAAAUUGUUUGUUGUCUUUUUUAUUCGUGUUAAAUGUGGCUUGAAAGCUUUUUUCGGGGGAAGCCUUUAAAUGUAGCUGGGAAUCCCCUUUUUCUGAACGCUCAUUUACCAUUACUUCUUCUUCUUCUCCUAUCUUUACCGGUAGUUUUUUUUUUAACAGACAAAAGCUCUUUCUCGCUGCCCUGAAGCUUCCAUAAAUGUUUUACCGUCCCCAUUCUAUUUCUCCUUGUGGACGACUACGACGACGACGACGACUUCUUAUCCCCCUGACUAUUGCCGAAAGUGUCUGACAGCGAACCCAACGCAAUUAUCUAUAAAGACUGGAGAAAAAAAAACAAAAAAUACAAAAAAAGAAUACAAAAAAAUGUAUAAAAAAAAGGAAAUAGGGAGGCGCGGUCGUGGGUUGAGAAAAUAGGAAAACGCGACGGCAAAUGUCAAAGAGUGAAAACAUUCAUCAAUCAUGAUAUUUAUGGACGGGCAAAAGUUCAGACACGUUGGCGUAAAUUGAUAUUAAUUAUAAAAGAAGAGAGAUGAAAGAUAUAUAGAUAGAGUGACUAAGAAUGGUAUUUUACUUUUUCGUAGCACUUAACAAUUCAAUUGCCAGAUGAAUAAUUCAUUUGCCGACUGCAGGAAUGAGAUGUCUUAAUUGCGUUUCUUGGAUUUCCUUCCAUUAAACGUUCCAAAUGGUAAAUGCUCUUAGGCAAGCCCACCUACUAAGACCCACAUUUUCAUUCUCUCCCCCCUAUUUUUUCCCCUUCAAUCAAAUGGCGUGUAAACAAAAUUUUUUAAUUAUGCCCACUGAAAGUAAUGCGAAAGCAAAAUAAAAAAAAAAUAUAUAUAUAUAUUAUAGGGGGGCUGUAGGUGGCCAAGCGGGAAAAAUGAACAAAAUAAUUGUUGAGCCAACGCCGCGUAUGAGCAAUAUUGAUUUUCACUAAUUGGAUUUUAGCGCGCGAAAAACGUUAAAUGCUCGACAAGAAAGAGAGAGAGAGAGAAGAAAUAAAUUCAACGAAAACAAACCGAAAAGAAUAACAAAAACAACAACAACAACAACAACAAGAAAGUAAGCAAAUCACAAAUUGCCAGCAUUUUAUGAUUAUUAGAAAAAAAAAAUCGAAAUGGCAUAAAUAAAGAAAUCCAAACUGAGCAUAAAAAA